GAGGAGCUUGCUCCUCUGACGUUAGCGGCGGACGGGUGAGUAACACGUGGAUAACCUACCUAUAAGACUGGGAUAACUUCGGGAAACCGGAGCUAAUACCGGAUAAUAUAUUGAACCGCAUGGUUCAAUAGUGAAAGACGGUUUUGCUGUCACUUAUAGAUGGAUCCGCGCCGCAUUAGCUAGUUGGUAAGGUAACGGCUUACCAAGGCAACGAUGCGUAGCCGACCUGAGAGGGUGAUCGGCCACACUGGAACUGAGACACGGUCCAGACUCCUACGGGAGGCAGCAGUAGGGAAUCUUCCGCAAUGGGCGAAAGCCUGACGGAGCAACGCCGCGUGAGUGAUGAAGGUCUUCGGAUCGUAAAACUCUGUUAUUAGGGAAGAACAAAUGUGUAAGUAACUAUGCACGUCUUGACGGUACCUAAUCAGAAAGCCACGGCUAACUACGUGCCAGCAGCCGCGGUAAUACGUAGGUGGCAAGCGUUAUCCGGAAUUAUUGGGCGUAAAGCGCGCGUAGGCGGUUUUUUAAGUCUGAUGUGAAAGCCCACGGCUCAACCGUGGAGGGUCAUUGGAAACUGGAAAACUUGAGUGCAGAAGAGGAAAGUGGAAUUCCAUGUGUAGCGGUGAAAUGCGCAGAGAUAUGGAGGAACACCAGUGGCGAAGGCGACUUUCUGGUCUGUAACUGACGCUGAUGUGCGAAAGCGUGGGGAUCAAACAGGAUUAGAUACCCUGGUAGUCCACGCCGUAAACGAUGAGUGCUAAGUGUUAGGGGGUUUCCGCCCCUUUAGUGCUGCAGCUAACGCAUUAAGCACUCCGCCUGGGGAGUACGACCGCAAGGGUUGAAACUCA
RNAcentral lists this ribosomal RNA (848 nucleotides) under Staphylococcus epidermidis. RNAcentral describes it as "bacterial SSU rRNA". It matches the Rfam family "Bacterial small subunit ribosomal RNA", at positions 73 to 903 of the family's 1533-position model. Lineage: Bacteria; Bacillati; Bacillota; Bacilli; Caryophanales; Staphylococcaceae. The record is from RNAcentral.